UAGAUGGAAGUCCGCUGGUUUGGGCAUCUAACUGUUAAUUAGAAUUUUGUGGGAUCGAGGCCCGCCCGUCUA
RNAcentral lists this transfer RNA (72 nucleotides) under Aegotheles cristatus. RNAcentral describes it as "tRNA-Asn". It matches the Rfam family "tRNA". From Rfam's summary of the family: Transfer RNA (tRNA) molecules are approximately 80 nucleotides in length. Their secondary structure includes four short double-helical elements and three loops (D, anti-codon, and T loops). Lineage: Eukaryota; Metazoa; Chordata; Aves; Caprimulgiformes; Aegothelidae. The record is from RNAcentral.